This 1186-nucleotide ribosomal RNA is filed under the name Gramella sp. Hel_I_64. Its description in RNAcentral is "bacterial SSU rRNA". It matches the Rfam family "Bacterial small subunit ribosomal RNA", at positions 152 to 1339 of the family's 1533-position model. The record is from RNAcentral. Lineage: Bacteria; Pseudomonadati; Bacteroidota; Flavobacteriia; Flavobacteriales; Flavobacteriaceae.
GGAAACGUGGAUUAAUACCCCAUAGUAUGUAGUUCUCUCCUGAGAAUUACAUUAAACAUUUAUGGCUUAAAGAUGAGUAUGCGUCCUAUUAGUUAGUUGGUAAGGUAACGGCUUACCAAGACCGCGAUAGGUAGGGGUCCUGAGAGGGAGAUCCCCCACACUGGUACUGAGACACGGACCAGACUCCUACGGGAGGCAGCAGUGAGGAAUAUUGGACAAUGGAGGCAACUCUGAUCCAGCCAUGCCGCGUGCAGGAAGACGGCCCUAUGGGUUGUAAACUGCUUUUAUACGGGAAGAACCACAUCUACGUGUAGAUGCUUGACGGUACCGUAUGAAUAAGGACCGGCUAACUCCGUGCCAGCAGCCGCGGUAAUACGGAGGGUCCAAGCGUUAUCCGGAAUCAUUGGGUUUAAAGGGUCCGUAGGCGGAGUAAUAAGUCAGUGGUGAAAGUCUGCAGCUUAACUGUAGAAUUGCCAUUGAUACUGUUAUUCUUGAAUUAUUAUGAAGUGGUUGGAAUGAGUAGUGUAGCGGUGAAAUGCAUAGAUAUUACUCAGAACACCUAUUGCGAAGGCAGAUCACUAAUAAUAUAUUGACGCUGAGGGACGAAAGCGUAGGUAGCGAACAGGAUUAGAUACCCUGGUAGUCUACGCCGUAAACGAUGGUUACUAGCUGUCCGGCCUAAUUGAGGGCUGGGUGGUUAAGCGAAAGUGAUAAGUAACCCACCUGGGGAGUACGUUCGCAAGAAUGAAACUCAAAGGAAUUGACGGGGGCCCGCACAAGCGGUGGAGCAUGUGGUUUAAUUCGAUGAUACGCGAGGAACCUUACCAGGGCUUAAAUGCAGUCUGACAGGGGUGGAAACACCCUUUUCUUCGGACAGAUUGCAAGGUGCUGCAUGGUUGUCGUCAGCUCGUGCCGUGAGGUGUCAGGUUAAGUCCUAUAACGAGCGCAACCCCUGUGGUUAGUUGCCAGCGAGUCAUGUCGGGAACUCUAGCCAGACUGCCGGUGCAAACCGCGAGGAAGGUGGGGAUGACGUCAAAUCAUCACGGCCCUUACGUCCUGGGCCACACACGUGCUACAAUGGUAGGGACAGAGGGCAGCUACCCCGCGAGGGGAUGCGAAUCUUCAAACCCUAUCACAGUUCGGAUCGCAGUCUGCAACUCGACUGCGUGAAGCUGGAAUCGCUAGU